RNAcentral lists this ribosomal RNA (425 nucleotides) under uncultured bacterium. RNAcentral's name for it is "bacterial SSU rRNA". It matches the Rfam family "Bacterial small subunit ribosomal RNA", at positions 356 to 773 of the family's 1533-position model. The record is from RNAcentral.
GGGGAAUUUUGGACAAUGGGCGCAAGCCUGAUCUAGCAAUGCCGCGUGCAGGAUGAAGGCCUUCGGGCUGUAAACUGCUUUUGUACGGAACGAAAAGUCUCGGGUUAAUACCCUGGGAUCAUGACGGUACCGUAAGAAUAAGCACCGGCUAACUACGUGCCAGCAGCCGCGGUAAUACGUAGGGUGCAAGCGUUAAUCGGAAUUACUGGGCGUAAAGCGUGCGCAGGCGGUUUUGUAAGACAGUGGUGAAAUCCCCGGGCUCAACCUGGGAACUGCCAUUGUGACUGCAAGGCUGGAGUGCGGCAGAGGGGGAUGGAAUUCCGCGUGUAGCAGUGAAAUGCGUAGAUAUGCGGAGGAACACCGAUGGCGAAGGCAAUCCCCUGGGCCUGCACUGACGCUCAUGCACGAAAGCGUGGGGAGCAAAC